CUCAGACGGUGUGUCCUCCACCACUGGCUCGGUCAUGUCGAAGGUACGUCUGUGUGACAAACAUGGAGACAAAGACAAAUCGGCUCCACUCUGUCUUGUUGUCUGCCCCACUGACCUUGCACAGCUGCUGCACAGUGAGGUGACGAAAAUGGAGAUGAUGAGGAGGAGGAGCAGGGAGAAGACACCCAUGUCUGGAGAAACAGUGGCUGUGGAGAGCAUCCAGGAACCCAGGAAUUCUCUGCCUACGGGGGCCAUAUUGACUGAGACUGAGAGGGGGGGAGGGGGAUUUAACACAGAUAUCAUCAGAUCUAUAUAUAAUAUAACUAUAGGCAAUAUAGUCACACUCUUUGGUCCCAUCAAAUGAUUUAACACUUCAGUACGAGAGGAAGAAGUCAUUUUAGAUUUUCUUUAAAUUAUUUUAUGUAUCACUAACAACUACUUUAUUUCACAAAUUGGUUCAUGUUUCCAGCAAAAAAUUGUGCUACCAGUAUGUCUGCCUCAAGCUAAGAAAAGCAAGCAGCAACAUUGUGUAUUCAAACUACGCUUACGUGAGACCUAUUUUCCCUUACAAAUGAUAUGUAAACUUGGAUGCUCACUGCAGACGCAGGCCUGUUUUACAGGAACUGGAAAGCAGGACAAACUGCUUUUUAUUUUAUUUUAUUUAUUAUCUGAAACUAGAGGUCUGGUCAUUGUUUUUGCAAUAUUUUAUACAUAUUUUUGUGAUUUUGUUGUUUUGGCCACGUGAGAAUGUUCUUGGCGUGUCAAUUAAUCACAUUUCAGUGGAGUUGAAAAGAAUGGAAGGCUAAAUGAUUGACAGCGAAGAAAGGAAGGAGUUUACUAAAGGAAAGAGUCAGACAUGAUAGGAAUUACUAACAACCAAAGUUAGCGUAACCAUUAUCAACUUUACAAAACUGGCCCAAAUAGGAUCAAUCCUAACGGUUGUCUGUAAUGGGCUAUUCUUUACAAAUUGUGUGGUUUGGUUAAGAAUAAAUCACUCUUGAAGUUACA
Long non-coding RNA from Gadus morhua (Atlantic cod), 1008 nucleotides. RefSeq lists it as uncharacterized. The transcript is spliced from 2 exons. The record is from RefSeq and is a predicted model, not a curated record. Lineage: Eukaryota; Metazoa; Chordata; Actinopteri; Gadiformes; Gadidae.